GGAGGAGAAGCGUUCCCCGGUGGGGCGUCCGGUCUUCAAAACCGGAAGGGGCCGCGGAUGCGGUCCCUGGUGGGUUCGACUCCCACUCUCUUCCACCA
Molecule: transfer RNA, 98 nt
Filed under: Chelatococcus sambhunathii
Lineage: Bacteria; Pseudomonadati; Pseudomonadota; Alphaproteobacteria; Hyphomicrobiales; Chelatococcaceae
Description: tRNA-Sec
Rfam family: Selenocysteine transfer RNA
Source: RNAcentral